RNAcentral lists this transfer RNA (56 nucleotides) under Bos taurus (domestic cattle). It matches the Rfam family "tRNA", at positions 9 to 63 of the family's 71-position model. Rfam says of the family: Transfer RNA (tRNA) molecules are approximately 80 nucleotides in length. Their secondary structure includes four short double-helical elements and three loops (D, anti-codon, and T loops). Lineage: Eukaryota; Metazoa; Chordata; Mammalia; Artiodactyla; Bovidae. RNAcentral also lists the same sequence under 3 other names. The record is from Rfam by way of RNAcentral.
GGCUCAGAUGGUAAAGCGUCUGUCUGCAACGCAGGAGACCCGGGUUCGAUCCCUGG